Molecule: long non-coding RNA, 1550 nt
Organism: Vombatus ursinus (common wombat)
Lineage: Eukaryota; Metazoa; Chordata; Mammalia; Diprotodontia; Vombatidae
Exons: 7
Source: RefSeq, a predicted model, not a curated record
AGAGAGAGAGAGAGAGAGAGAGGUUCUAAGUCUGACAGAAGGAUACUUGCCUACUCAGAAACAAGAGACAAGAAUGGGGAAAAUGUUAAAAGGAACUCCAAUUUUUGGAUUUACUUUUGAGACACAAUUCCUCUGGAACAUGUUAUAGAAGCAGUUUCCUUGUGUAUGACUAUUUUCUCAACAAGAAUGAAGCAUCCAUAGGAGACAAGUAUACUGCAAGUGCUGGGCCAUGCAGAAUAUUCCUACUGGGGCAGACUGAUCUCUUAAGUCUAUGAUAGUUACCUUGAUGGAUAAAGGGCCGUUGCCAUCUUCCUUACAUGGAAAAUCUGGCAGCCAGUAGAAAACAGGAAGAGAUCACCAGCAUGAUUCUAAGGGAACAGCCAACCAGUACCUGGAGGUGAAUGGAGUUCUUGCUACAAAAUCUUUGGCCUAUUCCUUAUCCAUACAGAUGCCUAGGCUUAAAGAUUAGGAACAUCCAGAGUAUACAGACCAGAAGCAGGUACAAGUGACCCCAGCUGAAUUCCCGAGGCCUACAGGAGUAUUAAGAAAGAGGAAUCAAGGAGACAGCUUCCAUGUGUUCAAAAUUCCCGAGGACUUCUUAUGAGGGUGACUUCCUCAUGUAUGACUACUUCCUCUAUUUGGGGUAGAGUCUAUUGGAAGUACCUGGUCAUGCUUAGUAUGGGUACAGGAUCCAAGCGGUUAUUGAGGACAAGAGUAAUUAUGGUGAAGGGGCAUUGCAGGACUCCAGACAUGGAGAACUUGGCAUCCAGUUGGAAAUAGGAGACAAUUGCUAGCACACUUGGGAGAAAGUGAAGGAUCCGUUCAGCAGUGUAAAGCAUAUAUUUGAUUCUCUGGAUAUGAGGCACUGAAGCAUGUACCAGGACCUUCUGGGGGUCAAGGGACAAGGACAAAGAAAGUCGACCAUAGCCUCUGAAAAAGCAUACCAAGACUUUCAGAGUUGAAAGGGACUUUGAAGUGCAUCUAGUCCCACCCCAAAUCUGAACAUGAGUCACCUCUGCAGCACCCCCAACAAAUGGCCAUCUUUGCUCCAAUGAGGAAGAACCCACUACAUCCCAAGAUAGCUUGCACUGAAGCCUUUACCAGGAUCCUUCAUGGGAAAUGACCAAUGGGCAAGGACCUCCACCACAGCUUGUGUCCCUGGAAAAGCAUCCUGUCAAGUAUUCCAAGGUGGAGACAGGAAUUCCAAAGGGGAGAUAGCCAUUAUCAAGAAUCAAGUAAACAAUCUGAGCAGCAGGCCCCACCCAGUACACGGGAACAUCCCGAACUGACCCCGGCAGCAGGAGCAGAUACUUUAUUACCAGAGUCUGAUGAGAACUGUGGACAACUUCAACUCUUGCUCUUGACCAAAUGGUUAUCAACAGGAAAACCUCAACUCCUUUGAAUUCCUUCAGUCCAUGAGUCUGGACCAGAGGAAUAAAAGACACGGGAAUUUUAAUUCUGUUAUUAAAAACUCUGUGAUACUAAUGCAUUGUUGGUAGAGUUGUGAAAUGAUCCAACCAUUCUAGAGAGUAAUUUGGAACUAUGCCUAA